UUAGAUGCUCCAACCCAUGUGAACGUUACCAAACUGUUGCCUCGGCGGGAUCUCUGCCCCGGGUGCGUCGCAGCCCCGGACCAAGGCGCCCGCCGGAGGACCAACCAAAACUCUUUUUGUAUACCCCCUCGCGGGUUUUUUUUAUAAUCUGAGCCUUCUCGGCGCCUCUCGUAGGCGUUUCGAAAAUGAAUCAAAACUUUCAACAACGGAUCUCUUGGUUCUGGCAUCGAUGAAGAACGCAGCGAAAUGCGAUAAGUAAUGUGAAUUGCAGAAUUCAGUGAAUCAUCGAAUCUUUGAACGCACAUUGCGCCCGCCAGUAUUCUGGCGGGCAUGCCUGUCCGAGCGUCAUUUCAACCCUCGAACCCCUCCGGGGGGUCGGCGUUGGGGAUCGGCCCUGCCUUUUGGCGGUGGCCGUCUCCGAAAUACAGUGGCGGUCUCGCCGCAGCCUCUCCUGCGCAGUAGUUUGCACACUCGCAUCGGGAGCGCGGCGCGUCCACAGCCGUUA
RNAcentral lists this ribosomal RNA (505 nucleotides) under Trichoderma sp. 1110_15. RNAcentral's name for it is "eukaryotic LSU rRNA". The stretch from base 195 to 348 matches the Rfam family "5.8S ribosomal RNA". Lineage: Eukaryota; Fungi; Ascomycota; Sordariomycetes; Hypocreales; Hypocreaceae. The record is from RNAcentral.